AUUUCAAUAGCUUAAUAAUAGAGCAUAACACUGAAGAUGUUAAAGUGAGAACAUCACAUCUCUUGAGAUA
RNAcentral lists this transfer RNA (70 nucleotides) under Angaria neglecta. Its description in RNAcentral is "tRNA-Phe". It matches the Rfam family "tRNA". Rfam says of the family: Transfer RNA (tRNA) molecules are approximately 80 nucleotides in length. Their secondary structure includes four short double-helical elements and three loops (D, anti-codon, and T loops). Lineage: Eukaryota; Metazoa; Mollusca; Gastropoda; Trochida; Turbinidae. The record is from RNAcentral.